CAGGCCUACGGGGGGCAGCAGUAGGGAAUCUUUCACAAUGAGGGAAACCCUGAUGCAGCGACGCCGCGUGAGCGAAGAAGUAUUUCGGUAUGUAAAGCUCUAUCAGCAGGGAAGAAAAUGACGGUACCUGACUAAGAAGCCCCGGCUAAAUACGUGCCAGCAGCCGCGGUAAUACGUAUGGGGCAAGCGUUAUCCGGAUUUACUGGGUGUAAAGGGAGCGCAGGCGGCUUGGCAAGUCUGAUGUGAAAGGCUGGGGCUCAACCCCAGGACUG
RNAcentral lists this ribosomal RNA (272 nucleotides) under uncultured bacterium. RNAcentral describes it as "partial 16S ribosomal RNA". It matches the Rfam family "Bacterial small subunit ribosomal RNA", at positions 334 to 623 of the family's 1533-position model. The record is from RNAcentral.